Molecule: transfer RNA, 85 nt
Filed under: Candidatus Faecivivens stercoravium
Lineage: Bacteria; Bacillati; Bacillota; Clostridia; Eubacteriales; Oscillospiraceae
Description: tRNA-Leu
Rfam family: tRNA
About the family: Transfer RNA (tRNA) molecules are approximately 80 nucleotides in length. Their secondary structure includes four short double-helical elements and three loops (D, anti-codon, and T loops).
Source: RNAcentral
GCAGAUGUGGCGGAAUUGGCAGACGCGCUACUUUGAGGUGGUAGUGGGGUCACUCGUGCAGGUUCAAGUCCUGUCAUCUGCACCA